GACGAACGCUGGCGGCGCGCCUAACACAUGCAAGUCGAACGAGCGAGCGAGAGCUUGCUUUCUCAAGCGAGUGGCGAACGGGUGAGUAACGCGUGAGGAACCUGCCUCACAGAGGGGGACAACAGUUGGAAACGACUGCUAAUACCGCAUAAGCUCACGACCCGGCAUCGGGUAGAGGGAAAAUGAGCAAUCCGCGUUGAGAUGGCCUCGCGUCCGAUUAGCUAGUUGGUGAGGUAACGGCCCACCAAGGCGACGAUCGGUAGCCGGACUGAGAGGUUGAACCGACACAUUGGGAGUGAGACACGGUCCAGACCACUACGGGAGGCAGCAGUGGGGGAUACUGCAAAAUCGCGGAAAUCAUGAUGCAGCGACGCCGGGUGGAGGAAGAAGGUCUUCAGAUAGUAAAGUCCUGUUGUUGCGGAAGAUACUGACGGUACUCAACAAGGAAGUGACGGCUAACUACGUG
This 466-nucleotide ribosomal RNA is filed under the name uncultured bacterium. RNAcentral describes it as "partial 16S ribosomal RNA". It matches the Rfam family "Bacterial small subunit ribosomal RNA", at positions 28 to 507 of the family's 1533-position model. The record is from RNAcentral.